AGUUUGAUCCUGGCUCAGGACGAACGCUGGCGGCGUGCCUAAUGCAUGCAAGUCGAACGCACCCGCUUCGGCGGGUGAGUGGCGCACGGCUGAGUAACACGUGGGAACCCGCCCCCCGGUGGGGGAUAACGCGACGAAAGUUGCGCUAAUCCCGCAUACGUCCUUCGGGGGAAAGCGCAGUGCGCGCCGGGGGAGGGGCCUGCGGCCCAUCAGGUCGUUGGUGGGGUAAGGGCCUACCAAGCCGAUGACGGGUAGCUGGUCUGGGAGGAUGACCAGCCAGACUGGGACUGAGACACGGCCCAGACUCCUACGGGAGGCAGCAGCAAGGAAUUUUCGGCAAUGGGCGCAAGCCUGACCGAGCAACGCCGCGUGCGGGAUGACGGCCUUCGGGUUGUAAACCGCUUUUCGGGGGGACGAUGAUGACGGUACCUCCGGAACAAGCCCCGGCUAACUCUGUGCCAGCAGCCGCGGUAAGACAGAGGGGGCGAGCGUUGUCCGGAGUCACUGGGCGUAAAGCGCGCGCAGGCGGCAACCUAAGUGUCGUGUGAAAGCCCCCGGCUCAACCGGGGGAGGCCAUGGCAAACUGGGUCGCUCGAGCUGCGGAGAGGCCCCUCGAAUUGCCGGUGUAGCGGUGAAAUGCGUAGAGAUCGGCAGGAAGACCAAGGGGGAAGCCAGGGGGCUGGCCGCANGCUGACGCUGAGGCGCGACAGCGUGGGGAGCAAACCGGAUUAGAUACCCGGGUAGCCCACGCCGUAAACGAUGACCACUCGGCGUGUGGCGACUAUUGACGUCGCGGCGCGCCCUAGCUCACGCGAUAAGUGGUCCGCCUGGGAACUACGAGCGCAAGCUUAAAACUCAAAGGAAUUGA
This 868-nucleotide ribosomal RNA is filed under the name uncultured bacterium. RNAcentral's name for it is "bacterial SSU rRNA". It matches the Rfam family "Bacterial small subunit ribosomal RNA", at positions 10 to 913 of the family's 1533-position model. The record is from RNAcentral.